GUUUGAUCCUGGCUCAGAGCGAACGCUGGCGGCAGGCUUAACACAUGCAAGUCGAACGGGCACCUUCGGGUGUCAGUGGCAGACGGGUGAGUAACACGUGGGAACGUGCCCUUCAGUUCGGAAUAACCCAGGGAAACUUGGGCUAAUACCGGAUACGUCCGUAAGGAGAAAGAUUUAUCGCUGAAGGAUCGGCCCGCGUCUGAUUAGCUAGUUGGUGGGGUAAUGGCCUACCAAGGCGACGAUCAGUAGCUGGUCUGAGAGGAUGAUCAGCCACACUGGGACUGAGACACGGCCCAGACUCCUACGGGAGGCAGCAGUGGGGAAUAUUGGACAAUGGGCGAAAGCCUGAUCCAGCCAUGCCGCGUGAGUGAUGAAGGCCUUAGGGUUGUAAAGCUCUUUCGGCGGGGACGAUAAUGACGGUACCCGCAGAAGAAGCCCCGGCUAACUUCGUGCCAGCAGCCGCGGUAAUACGAAGGGAGCUAGCGUUGCUCGGAAUCACUGGGCGUAAAGGGCGCGUAGGCGGCCAUUCAAGUCAGGGGUGAAAGCCCAAGGCUCAACCUUGGAAUUGCCUUUGAUACUGUUUGGCUUGAGACCGGAAGAGGUAAGUGGAACUGCGAGUGUAGAGGUGAAAUUCGUAGAUAUU
This 643-nucleotide ribosomal RNA is filed under the name uncultured bacterium. RNAcentral describes it as "bacterial SSU rRNA". It matches the Rfam family "Bacterial small subunit ribosomal RNA", at positions 11 to 698 of the family's 1533-position model. The record is from RNAcentral.